UGGGGAAUAUUGGACAAUGGGGGAAACCCUGAUCCAGCAAUGCCGCGUGAGUGAAGAAGGCCUUAGGGUUGUAAAGCUCUUUCGCCCGCGAAGAUAAUGACGGUAGCGGGAGAAGAAGCCCCGGCUAACUCCGUGCCAGCAGCCGCGGUAAUACGGAGGGGGCUAGCGUUGUUCGGAAUUACUGGGCGUAAAGCGUACGUAGGCGGAUGCGCAAGUUGGGGGUGAAAUCCCGGGGCUUAACCUCGGAAUUGCCCUCAAAACUGCACGGCUUGAGACCGAGAGAGGUAAGGGGAAUUCCUAGUGUAGAGGUGAAAGUCGUAGAUAUUAGGAAGAACACCAGUGGCGAAGGCGCCUUACUGGCUCGGUACUGACGCUGAGGUACGAAAGCGUGGGGAGCAAACA
This 402-nucleotide ribosomal RNA is filed under the name uncultured bacterium. RNAcentral describes it as "bacterial SSU rRNA". It matches the Rfam family "Bacterial small subunit ribosomal RNA", at positions 355 to 774 of the family's 1533-position model. The record is from RNAcentral.